This is a long non-coding RNA of Osmia bicornis bicornis, 1289 nucleotides long. RefSeq lists it as uncharacterized. Lineage: Eukaryota; Metazoa; Arthropoda; Insecta; Hymenoptera; Megachilidae. The record is from RefSeq and is a predicted model, not a curated record. The transcript is spliced from 4 exons.
AACACUAUCGUUUCCCGGUGUACCUACGGGAAUCGAACCACGCCUAUCCCCCUACCCUUAUACUCGCGACCGGCUACCUCGUGCUGUUUUUACCGGCAAGGUGAGCGAUAGCCAGACAGAGAAAGCGAAACCUAGCGGAGUAGCUACGGUGGAAGAGAAGAACAAGACGACAGAGAGGGAAGUCUCUUACUGGUUUCUCUACUCGGGCCUGCCCACGCGCCGAGGGUGAGUUCUUGCGCGCGCAAAAGCUUUCCGAACACGAAUAUCCUGCCUUUCCGUCACUGAAAAUCCCGCGCAUUCGACAGGAUCAACCCUUUUUUUCCCCGAUAAAUUACGCAAUUUCUUCACGCAUCGAUCAGCUUCCCAUCAAUCGAGCCUGGCUCCUGCUGCGAAUUGUAGCGUCGCAAACCCGUGGGACGGCUUCCAAUUUCUCUUCGCGGUCGACAAGGAUCCGGUUCGAAGUUUCACCAUUUUCAACCUGACGUCUCGAUAGGGAAGACGUAUAAAUCGGGAUCCUUCGAACCUUUCCCUUCCGUAUCGCCGGUGAUUGGACCGAAAGCGUGACUUCGAUCUAUUGGGUGCGAUCGAUUUCUUGGUACGACUGGAAGGAACGGCGAUACCUCGAUAAAAGCAGGAAAACAUCCGAGGGAUCAACAAGAUGUCCCUUAAAAAAAUGAGAACCUCUGUGUACGAGAAGUUGGACGAGAAAGGACCAACCAUGACGUGGUCGCAAUCUGACUACUCGUAUCGUCGGAGUCGACUUUCGCGAUAAGUACAAACGGAGACGAUAAUGCGAAACAGCGACGAAAAAUCUGUGUAUAUGCACGCAUCCACCGCGGGCGUGGGAACCGCAAAUAGGGAGGGUUUUUAUCAUUCCGUACAAAAGACGAUAGCGAUUUUUUCUCGUUCAACAAUUUCACGAUGUCUGCAAAGCGAAUCAUUGUGACGAUCUACGACGGAUCUGAUGGUAACCGUGAGAGUUAAAAAGUCACGUCGGUUCUCAAGCUCCCCAUCGAUGACAGCGAUUGGGACACCUGGAGGGAUUCGAAACAGAAAGGAUGCAUCGAUUAACACAGAUGCGGGACAACACCCUAUUGUGUUCGAUCUUAUCGAAUCGACAGUUGUUUGUGCAUCGCGAUUUUUACGUGUCGAUGAGUUUACGAUACGUUUCAUCACGAUUCCAGUGGAAUUUCAUACAUUUUUUACGGGCAUUCUUAGAUUUGUAUUUGAUAAACAAUUUCUGCUCUGAUAUCUAUAAUUUAUGAUUUGUAUGCUUGUAAAUUAAAUAA